AUUGCCCUAGUAACGGCGAGUGAAGCGGCAACAGCUCAAAUUUGAAAUCUGGCUUCGGCCCGAGUUGUAAUUUGUAGAGGAAGCUUUUGGUGAGGCACCUUCUGAGUCCCCUGGAACGGGGCGCCAUAGAGGGUGAGAGCCCCGUAUAGUCGGAUGCCGAUCCAAUGUAAAGCUCCUUCGACGAGUCGAGUAGUUUGGGAAUGCUGCUCAAAAUGGGAGGUAAAUUUCUUCUAAAGCUAAAUACCGGCCAGAGACCGAUAGCGCACAAGUAGAGUGAUCGAAAGAUGAAAAGCACUUUGAAAAGAGGGUUAAAUAGCACGUGAAAUUGUUGAAAGGGAAGCGUUUGUGACCAGACUUGCGCCGUUCCGAUCAUCCGGUGUUCUCACCGGUGCACUCGGGACGGCACAGGCCAGCAUCGGUUUUGGCGGGGGGACAAAGGCCCUGGGAACGUAGCUCCUCCGGGAGUGUUAUAGCCCAGGGCGUAAUGCCCUCGCCGGGACCGAGGUUCGCGCAUCUGCAAGGAUGCUGGCGUAAUGGUCACCAACGACCCGUCUUGAAACACGGACCAAGGAGUCAAGGUUUUGCGCGAGUGUUUGGGUGUAAAACCCGCACGCGUAAUGAAAGUGAACGUAGGUGAGAGCUUCGGCGCAUCAUCGACCGAUCCUGAUGUAUUCGGAUGGAUUUGAGUAAGAGCGUUAAGCCUUGGACCCGAAAGAUGGUGAACUAUGCUUGGAUAGGGUGAAGCCAGAGGAAACUCUGGUGGAGGCUCGCAGCGGUUCUGACGUGCAAAUCGAUCGUCAAAUCUGAGCAUGGGGGCGAAAGACUAAUCGA
RNAcentral lists this ribosomal RNA (831 nucleotides) under Neurospora dictyophora. RNAcentral describes it as "eukaryotic LSU rRNA". It matches the Rfam family "Eukaryotic large subunit ribosomal RNA", at positions 74 to 938 of the family's 3401-position model. The record is from RNAcentral. Lineage: Eukaryota; Fungi; Ascomycota; Sordariomycetes; Sordariales; Sordariaceae.